UACGUAGGGUCCGAGCGUUGUCCGGAAUUACUGGGCGUAAAGAGCUCGUAGGUGGUUUGUCGCGUUGUUCGUGAAAACUCACAGCUUAACUGUGGGCGUGCGGGCGAUACGGGCAGACUUGAGUACUGCAGGGGAGACUGGAAUUCCUGGUGUAGCGGUGGAAUGCGCAGAUAUCGGGAGGAACACCGGUGGCGAAGGCGGGUCUCUGGGCAGUAACUGACGCUGAGGAGCGAAAGCGUGGGGAGCGAACAGG
This 253-nucleotide ribosomal RNA is filed under the name uncultured bacterium. RNAcentral's name for it is "partial 16S ribosomal RNA". It matches the Rfam family "Bacterial small subunit ribosomal RNA", at positions 524 to 776 of the family's 1533-position model. The record is from RNAcentral.